CGCACGGACUAAGUGCUACUAGGUUUCAAACGGGACUGACUCAAACCACAGGGUUUUAUACUGACACCAUCAUUAAAAAUAUAGUCUGCAGUUUCUGUUGUUUUAAUAUUGCCCAAAAGGAUGAGCAAACCCGAUCCGUAACUGUCCCUAGAAGGAAAAGUUUGCGAGUCAGACGCGAACAAAUGCCGUACUGGUUGCUGUUCACUGGGUGGCGGCAGAAGACGGGUUUCCCGCAUUCCAGAGGUCAGGUGUAGAAGAGGAUGUACCGGAGGACCCCAUGAUGUCCAUGGCUUUGAGGUUUCGGCACUUAAUGACGGUCAGAGUCAUUCUUCCAGCCGUGGGCAGGUAGCAGAAUCUGCAGGAAUCCUUGGCGUCAGAUGGGACACCAGACUAUCCAAAGCACCUCACAUCUACCAGAGACGUCAUUUUACCGGAACCGUCCUGGACCAUGCAGAGGGGACCUGCAGUGACACUGGUAAUGGGAACACGCAAACACUGACUCAGUGCCCCUCCGCUUUGUGGCAUCAUCGCUACCCCCAUGUACACCGCGCGUGUGUAAAUAUCACCGGGACAUACAAGGCUGAUAUCCUCUGCACCCCGCUGUCCUCAUCCACAUUAUUCGCAUCUCUGCUGGCUGUUUUUCUGUAUUUAUUCUGGCGACUUCUCUCUCCAACGCGGUGACACAGGUUUCUCCAGAGAAUCAGCGUGAUUCUGAGUCUCCGCCACACACUGACUCACCUUUAGACGCUGACUCACUCUUGUGCCUUGGACCAUGGUGGGUUGGGCGCCCCCUCCCUUACCACGGUGAUCCUAUGACUGCCCUGUACAUAGUCGGCCUAACCGCCCCGCCAAGGCCACGACACCCACAGCAAAUUAAUCCUAUAGCUGACUUAUAGCUAUGGCUGUUCUACUAAUUCAAAUUCAAAAUCAGUAAUAUUAGCAUUUUACGCCAAAUAUUGUGACACAAAUAUUAACUGAAAUCUACAGAGCUUUGACAAUUUACUGUAAGUGAUAAAGUUGUGGAUUUCUCCAGAGAUCACCGGUAAUUGGGGUGGGAAACCAUUUGCAUAAAAAUGUGGUGUUUUGUAGAGUGUGACUCAUUAAUGGGGCAAUUUAUACUAAUGGUACCGCAGUCCACAGGAGACCCAGUCCACAGCAUCCAGGGUGUGUCCUGCUCUGUGCCCCGUCCUUCCUGGAUCACUGAGACCUCUCACUGGAUAAGCGUUUAUAGAUGGAUGGACGAUACAGUAGUCAUUGGGGUUCACAUGGUCGGUUCCUCUCAGGAUUCUGAAUCCUACGUCUAUUCAUCCACUUUGCUUUGAUCUAAAGUCAUGUAGUGUUUACAACCUGCCCCCGAACAGCAGCUUUUCAAGAACAUGAAUCUGUCUCAUGGCCUUAAAGCAGGAAUCUCCCUUUUUGAAGCACCUGCUGUACACAUUGUUGCCAGUGAAAUUUUUGCCAGUACAAUGUAUAGUCUCAGCAUGAUUGCUUUGUUCAGGAAUGACAUGCCUGCACAGACCUUCCCAGGCCUCACACCUGCCUUUCUGACUGCGAUGUCACCAUGGUGCCACACAGACAUGGAGGGUAUUUUCCUGCCUCCCGUAGGAAACCUGCAUUUAUUUGCAUUGCUGAAUUGUCAUUAUUUCUGAUGAAGUAUUUGUCUACAGACUCUGCUGUUGUCUCUUUCUAAUAACCACUUAAUUAUGUGUCAGCUACUAUUUAACUGUCCUAUAAUAUACUUAAUUCAUGCAGUUUAGAAAGAAUAACGUGCCCAGAACUGAACCCUGUGGAACACCACUAGUGACACUGGCCGAACUGCAAGUCAUCCCACUCAAAAUGACAACCUGCAUUAUAGAUUUUAGGCAUUAAUUGUGAAAUGACGUGAAGUAAAGCAAAUAAUGAGCUUUCAUGCUGUUUAUCACCGUCGUCGCGUACCUAAAUAUGCAAUUUGUGUUUGAUAACUGUACCGGAUUUCAACAUGUCUGACCAUUAAUCUGUAAUAACCUGUUAUUAAUUUUAAUUAGCAUGAGAUUCUCUUGUCCCUCCCUUGCUUACAUCAUUAGUGACAUUUCUAUCAGUUCUCUUUGUUUAUUCCCAGUGGAAGCAGAAAGCUUUGCUCUAUAUACUGUCACUAACCAGCUAAAAAAAAAAACGGUAACAGCUUAAUUAAUCGGCCUUUAGCACGACACGAAAUAGUCAGGCGCUAUACCAUUUGCACCAGGACAGGACUGUCAGUUCAGGGGUGAACAUUACGAGUCCCUCCACAGAAAUACACAUCUUAAUGAAGCACCUCACUUAAUGGCUGGAGGGACACGUAUUAAAAUCAUUUGGAAGCUGCCUGUUAGGAUCUAUUUAACUUGCUGUUUCACUUGCUAAUGGUCAGCUAGUUAGCACUUUGUGUAUUAGUGCUGUAUUUAUAAAUCUGAGACCCGCUAUCUAUUUUGCACGUUUCAUAAUGGAGUUGCAUUCCAUGCUCCUGGUGCUUCUUCUGUAAACGAGCUCGGAAACCAUAGUAUCCACCCUCCCCCUCACCCCGCCCUGCAGUUUUCAGGCUUAAUUACUGUGUGUUUGCACAGCUGUUGUGGCUUACCCCCCCCCAACCCCCCCUCAAUUUUUAAUUACCACCCAUCCUGAAAACCAAGCGUAUCACGUAGUGCAUGUAUAUGUUUUUUUCACUCUCGAUAGGGUGGUCUUCCUCACUGCUAGCAAUGGUCUUCCUCGCCAGAGCUGGCAGACUCCUCGUGAUCGGAGACGAUCCCCAGAAAGCGCUCACCAUCCAUGCUGUCUGGGAAGGAUCAAUUAUAUUUAUGGUCAUUAGCAAUUCAGACCAAAUGGUGUCAUGACUGAGAAAUAAAUUACCUUUAACAAUCCGUGACGGACGUCUCAGGAUCAACGGAAAGGAACAAUCUAGUGAUCCAUCAUACGUCCUAGAAAUUGGCCUAAGGUUGCAGUAUGCUGAAUGAUGGAUUUGGCUUCGGGUCAAAGGUCACAUAAAGCCAAUCGAUCUUAAAGGCCACACGGAGCUCCCGCUGAUGCAUCUCUUGCAUGUUGCCACCGUACUGGUGCAUGCAGACGUAUCAGCACGCAUUUUAAAAGGACUGCAUGUUCAUCCUGGGGCCCUGCGAUUCUCCACACUUCCCCUGGGAUUAAUUACUGCAUUUUUGAAGUAGCCUUGAAGCAUAUUUAAUCAAGGUUGUUGGGCUUGGAAUAUACUUCACUACUCAGAAAACCUUAACAUGACAUCAUACAAAAGUCUGAAUUCUGCAGCUUGUGAUUGGUUAUCAGCAUAUAGAGUGACUAGUUGAAUUUUCCUACAUACAUUUUAAUGGAAAGCUUCAAACUAUUACCUCCGGGUAAAUUUCAGGAGGUGACUAUGGUUAAAUUGACCACCAGCCCUUGACAGCUAUAAUUUGAGUGAAUUAUGGAAAGUUAAUAUAAAGAGUUCAAGGAAACAAAUAACUGAGAAACAGGGAGAGGAGUCUCCCUCCAAGCACAGAUGCUCCCCCAGGCAAAACAGCAGCAUACCGAUGGUAGCGCCUCUGCGCUUCCUGGAGCCACACCAGAAGGGGAACACCUUCUCUGUCAGAGGCCGAGACACUGGCAGCGAGCCUCGGGGGGUAAGAGGAUAACUGAGUGAGACCCAGAUGCUUCUGUGAUACAUGUCAUUCACCCAGGGAGGCGUGUGAGUCUGAUGGUAACCCAUAGAUGCCACUAGAGAGCCAAUCAAAAAUUUAAAUUCAGUAUUAAUCAGUGUGUAUUCAACUUUAAUUUAGCAGCAAUUCAGCAGUAAUUCCAUGCUAUUCCACCACCAAUUCCACAUUGGUUCAGCGCUAAUUAAAUGGCAAUUAAAUUCAGCACUACUCAAGAACACUUGACAGCACCGGCGGGCAGGUUGUAUGUUGUUGGGGGUGGGGGCACCCUCCUUAGUGUAUGCACAGCCCCGAUAUGCUAUCGCCAUGGCAAUACCAACAUCAGGGCGAGGGCAGGAGAGGAAAUCCAUAACUCCAUUGAGAGACGCAGUUGCCAGCGUGUUCCACAUUCCCAAACAUCUGGGACAAGUCACAGGUGGUGAGGAAGGUGCCAAAACAUCGAGUCAUGAAGACGCUGGAAACAUGUGCAACAGAUGACCAGGAGUUAUUUGGCAAAUGGUGUGUGAGAAGCAGCGUCGCCGUAACCAAACAAACGAGUGUGUGUAAGCCACAGGCAAUGUGUAGCUCAGCACGUGAGGGAUCUGUGUUCAGAAGGUCAUGGGUUCAAAUCCCCUGGUUGGCAGAAUAGUCAUCCUCAAUAGGCCCUUAAACAAUGGCCCUUAACCCCAAGAGCUCCAGGGACACUGGGUGACCCUGCUGUAUAAUCCUCACUUGUAUAAAACAUACCUGCUAAAUAAGAAAAUGUCAAGCCAUUCAUCCAUUAUGUACCGCUUAUCCAAUAACAAUAAGAACCCCAUCUGUGAUAUACAUAAGACAAUAAAAUGAAUACAGUUUCAGGGGGUGUAGCCUACCUGGUUUUCUGAUUG
Paramormyrops kingsleyae is the source of this 4516-nucleotide long non-coding RNA. RefSeq lists it as uncharacterized. Lineage: Eukaryota; Metazoa; Chordata; Actinopteri; Osteoglossiformes; Mormyridae. The record is from RefSeq and is a predicted model, not a curated record.